AGAUUUCUCGGAGCACGUACGCCGUCGCCGGCCGCAGCGCCUGCGCAUGCGCAGCGGCAGCAACGGCGGCGCGCCAUCUCUCCGCGUCGAUUUGAAUUCUCAACGGCUGCGCCAGGCAAGUCAACGCUUGUUGCUGCUGGUGAGCUGCCUGCACCUUCGUGUCUGUGUAUUCGUCUCGACUUUGUGGCAUCACACGUCAACUACACUGAACGCGGGUGUCAUAGACUGCCAGGGAAUUUUCAUGAAAACAGCCAGGGAAAGCUUGGAAAAACAUCAGGGAAAUUGAAAAUGACAACAUAGCAUGCACCUGCAGCACCUUCGGAACGGCUGACACGAAGGUCAAGGCCAGCCAGGCAACCGUGCUUGCCAAGGGGAAGCAGCUUUAAAUAUGUAAAUAUUCUCUUUUGAUGAUAGCAUAAGACAUGCAUUUUAAUAAAUUAAUGUAUUAUAUCGUUCAAUAAAAACAGUUAAU
Dermacentor silvarum is the source of this 472-nucleotide long non-coding RNA. RefSeq lists it as uncharacterized. Lineage: Eukaryota; Metazoa; Arthropoda; Arachnida; Ixodida; Ixodidae. The record is from RefSeq and is a predicted model, not a curated record. The transcript is spliced from 3 exons.